GUAACGAGCGCAACCCUUGUCCUUAGUUACCAGCACGUUAUGGUGGGCAUCUAAGGAGACUGCCGGUGACAAACCGGAGGAAGGUGGGGAUGACGUCAAGUCAUCAUGGCCCUUACGGCCUGGGCUACACACGUGCUACAAUGGUCGGUACAAAGGGUUGCCAAGCCGCGAGGUGGAGCUAAUCCCAUAAAACCGAUCGUAGCCCGGAUCGCAGUCUGCAACUCGACUGCGUGAAGUCGGAAUCGCUAGUAAUCGUGAAUCAGAAUGUCACGGUGAAUACGUUCCCGGGCCUU
RNAcentral lists this ribosomal RNA (293 nucleotides) under uncultured Pseudomonas sp. RNAcentral describes it as "partial 16S ribosomal RNA". It matches the Rfam family "Bacterial small subunit ribosomal RNA", at positions 1089 to 1382 of the family's 1533-position model. Lineage: Bacteria; Pseudomonadati; Pseudomonadota; Gammaproteobacteria; Pseudomonadales; Pseudomonadaceae. The record is from RNAcentral.